UAUGAGAGUUUGAUCCUGGCUCAGGAUGAACGCUGGCGGCGUGCCUAAUACAUGCAAGUCGAACGCUAAUCGUUAAACUGAAACUUCGGUGGAUUUUUAACAAUGGUUAGAGUGGCGAACGGGUGAGUAACACGUGGAUAACCUGCCUUUUAGCGGGGGAUAACUUUUGGAAACAGAAGCUAAUACCGCAUAACAAUGUCUUUUGCAUGAAAGAUAUUUGAAAGGAGCGUAUGCUCCACUAAAAGAUGGAUCCGCGGCGCAUUAGCUAGUUGGUGGGGUAAAGGCCUACCAAGGCGAUGAUGCGUAGCCGAGUUGAGAGACUGAUCGGCCACAUUGGGACUGAGACACGGCCCAAACUCCUACGGGAGGCUGCAGUAGGGAAUCUUCCACAAUGGACGCAAGUCUGAUGGAGCAACGCCGCGUGUGUGAUGAAGGCUUUCGGGUCGUAAAACACUGUUGUAUAGGAAGAACAGCUAAGAGAGGAAAUGCUUUUAGCCUGACGGUACUAUACCAGAAAGGGACGGCUAAAUACGUGCCAGCAGCCGCGGUAAUACGUAUGUCCCGAGCGUUAUCCGGAUUUAUUGGGCGUAAAGCGAGCGCAGACGGUUAGAUAAGUCUGAAGUGAAAGCCAACAGCUCAACUGUUGAAGGGCUUUGGAAACUGUUUAACUUGAGUGCAGUAGAGGCAAGUGGAACUCCAUGUGUAGCGGUGGAAUGCGUAGAUAUAUGGAAGAACACCAGUGGCGAAGGCGGCUUGCUGGGCUGUAACUGACGUUGAGGCUCGAAAGCGUGGGUAGCAAACAGGAUUAGAUACCCUGGUAGUCCACGCUGUAAACGAUGACAACUAGGUGUUGGGACCUUUCCGGGUUUCAGUGCCGGCGCUAACGCAAUAAGUUGUCCGCCUGGGGAGUACGACCGCAAGGUUGAAACUCAAAGGAAUUGACGGGGACCCGCACAAGCGGUGGAGCAUGUGGUUUAAUUCGAAGCAACGCGAAGAACCUUACCAGGUCUUGACAUCCCUUGAAGAUAUCAGAAAUGAUAUUGUUUUCUUCGGAAACAAGGUGACAGGUGGUGCAUGGUCGUCGUCAGCUCGUGUCGUGAGAUGUUGGGUUAAGUCCCGCAACGAGCGCAACCCUUAUGUUUAGUUGCCAGUAUUAAGUUAGGCACUCUAGACAGACUGCCGGUGACAAACCGGAGGAAGGUGGGGAUGACGUCAGAUCAUCAUGCCCCUUAUGACCUGGGCUACACACGUGCUACAAUGGCGCAAACAGCGAGCAGCGAACCGGUGACGGCAAGCGAAUCUCUAAAAAUGCGUCUCAGUUCGGAUUGUAGUCUGCAACUCGACUACAUGAAGUCGGAAUCGCUAGUAAUCGCGGAUCAGCACGCCGCGGUGAAUACGUUCCCGGGUCUUGUACACACCGCCCGUCACACCAUGAGAGUUUGCAACACCCAAAGCCGGUGGUCUAACCGCAAGGAGGAAGCCGUCUAAGGUGGGGCAGAUGAUUAGGGUGAAGUCGUAACAAGGUAGCCGUAGGAGAACCUGCGGCUGGAUCACCUCCUUU
RNAcentral lists this ribosomal RNA (1561 nucleotides) under Leuconostocaceae bacterium 92788a. RNAcentral describes it as "bacterial SSU rRNA". It matches the Rfam family "Bacterial small subunit ribosomal RNA". Lineage: Bacteria; Bacillati; Bacillota; Bacilli; Lactobacillales; Lactobacillaceae. The record is from RNAcentral.